Long non-coding RNA from Erinaceus europaeus (western European hedgehog), 904 nucleotides. RefSeq lists it as uncharacterized. The transcript has 5 exons. The record is from RefSeq and is a predicted model, not a curated record. NCBI's taxonomy places the organism in Eukaryota, Metazoa, Chordata, Mammalia, Eulipotyphla, Erinaceidae.
AGGAGAGUGCCUAAGGGUCACUGGGAAAGAAAAGACAUGUUUCAAAAUGGCUCAAACUUCUUCUCAAGCAUAACAUCAAUUUUUCAGCCACAUGAAAGAGCACUGUCGGGGUAAGAAAAGCAAAAUUCCUGUCUAGGAACAGCACAUUCUUUUGAUUUUAAUUGAUCCAAGACAGAACCUUGCUGAUAAGGAUCACAGACCUUGAUGCCAGGGAACUAUUUGAACUUGGAGCAAUUUACUGGCACGAGGAGUAUUAAAAAAGCAUAUUCAGUGAUGAGAGGAAAGAAAACUAUUUCUUCCAUUAGACUGGCAAUUGACCAUCUGCUUCAGAGGGUAGUACUUAACCUGGAGGUAAUCAUGCUGAAAUAGCUUGAUGAUAUGUGCACAACAAGUUUAUGGACUUUGGAAAUUAGGUGAUCAGGAAAAAGCAAAAUAUCUUGGAAACUGAAGCUAAGUAUGAGCGGAGAGAAGAAAUGAAGCUGAGUGUGGAAGCAAUUGAGAUUAUGCAGACCUAUUUAAGGGAGAUUUGGCAGUCUGAUUUUCUUUAGCAGUCAUCAAGUUACAGAUGCCACCAUGACUCCAACCUGACUUCCCUGGGCAGACGACCUCACCUAUGAGUCCUGGAACCCCACCUCUCCAGAGCCUUGCCCCACUAGAAAAUAUAGAAACAGGCUGGGGGUAUGGAUCCACUUGCCAACACCCAUGUCCAUUGGAGAAGUAACUACAGAAGCCAGACCUCCCACCUUCUGUGCCCCAUAAUGAUUCUGGGUCCAUGCUCAAAGAGGGAUAAAAGAAUAUGGAAGCUUCCAAUGGAGAGAAUGGGAUAUGCAACUCUGGUGGUGGGAAUUGUAUGGAAUUGUACCCCUCUUAUACUACAAUUUUGUCGAUCAUUAUUAAAUCAGUA